RNAcentral lists this ribosomal RNA (468 nucleotides) under uncultured bacterium. Its description in RNAcentral is "partial 16S ribosomal RNA". It matches the Rfam family "Bacterial small subunit ribosomal RNA", at positions 28 to 507 of the family's 1533-position model. The record is from RNAcentral.
GACGAACGCUGGCGGCGUGCUUAACACAUGCAAGUCGAACGGAAAGGCCCUGCUUGUGUGGGGUGCUCGAGUGGCGAACGGGUGAGUAACACGUGAGUAACCGGCCCUUGACUUUGGGAUAACUUCAGGAAACUGGGGCUAAUACCGGAUAGGAGCUCCUGCUGCAGGGUGGGGGUUGGAAAGUUUCGGCGGUUGGGGAUGGACGGGCGGCUUAUCAGCUUGUUGGUGGGGUAGUGGCUUACCAAGGCUUUGACGGGUAGCCGGCCUGAGAGGGUGACCGGCCACAUUGGGACUGAGAUACGGCCCAGACUCCUACGGGAGGCAGCAGUGGGGAAUAUUGCACAAUGGGCGGAAGCCUGAUGCAGCAACGCCGCGUGCGGGAUGACGGCCUUCGGGUUGUAAACCGCUUUCGCCUGUGACGAAGCGUGAGUGACGGUAAUGGGUAAAGAAGCACCGGCUAACUACGUG